CCAAUAGCGUAUAUUAAAGUUGUUGCAGUUAAAAAGCUCGUAGUUGAAUUUCGGGAUCGGUGGGUCGGUCGUGCCUCCGGUACGCACUGUCUUUACCGGUUCCUCCCUUCUGAAGAACCGCGAUGUCAUUAAUUUGGUGUUGCGGGGAAUCAGGACUGUUACUGUGAAAAAAUUAGAGUGUUUAAAGCAGGCUAAAGCUUGAAUACAUUAGCAUGGAAUAAUGAAAUAGGACGUUUGAUCUUAUUUUGUUGGUUUCUAAGAUCGACGUAAUGAUUAAUAGGGAUAGUUGGGGGAAUUAGUAUUCAAUUGUCAGAGGUGAAAUUCUUGGAUUUAUUGAAGACUAACUACUGCGAAAGCAUUUGCCAAGGAUGUUUUCAUUAAUCAAGAACGAAAGUUAGGGGAUCGAAGACGAUCAGAUACCGUCGUAGUCUUAACCAUAAACUAUGCCGACUAGGGAUCGGAUGAUGUUAAUUUUUUAAUGACUCAUUCGGCGCCUUACG
Molecule: ribosomal RNA, 500 nt
Filed under: uncultured Glomeromycotina
Lineage: Eukaryota; Fungi; Glomeromycota
Description: partial small subunit ribosomal RNA
Rfam family: Eukaryotic small subunit ribosomal RNA
Source: RNAcentral